This 1695-nucleotide ribosomal RNA is filed under the name activated sludge metagenome. Its description in RNAcentral is "bacterial LSU rRNA". It matches the Rfam family "Bacterial large subunit ribosomal RNA", at positions 1342 to 2925 of the family's 2925-position model. The record is from RNAcentral.
UGACCAAGGGUUCCAGGGCCAGGCUAAUCCGCCCUGGGUAAGUCGGGACCUAAGACGAGGCCGACAGGCGUAGUCGAUGGACAACGGGUUGAUAUUCCCGUACCGGCUGUACCGCGACCCUGCCGAGGCAGAGGAUGCUAAGCGUCCGAAUCCGCUGCGACCUUCGGGUCAAGGUGGAGGAGCACGCGAACCGAAUCUGUAGUAGGCAAGCAAUGGGGUGACGCAGGAAGGUAGCUCAACCCGGGCGAUGGUUGUCCCGGGGUAAGGAUGUAGGGCGAGACGUAGGCAAAUCCGCGUCUCACAUGCCUGAGAUCUGACGCCGAGCCGAUUAAGGCGAAGUGAGUGAUCCUAUGCUGCCGAGAAAAGCCUCUAGCGAGUUGUACAGCCGCCCGUACCCCAAACCGACACAGGUGGUCAGGUAGAGAAUACCAAGGCGAUCGAGAGAACUGUGGUUAAGGAACUCGGCAAAAUACCCCCGUAACUUCGGGAGAAGGGGGGCCGAUUGAUGUGACGGGACUUGCUCCCUGAGCACCGGUUGGCCGCAGAGACCAGGCCCAAGCGACUGUUUACUAAAAACAUAGGUCCAUGCGAAGUCGCAAGACGAUGUAUAUGGACUGACGCCUGCCCGGUGCUGGAACGUUAAGGGGACGGGUUAGCGACUUCGGUCGCGAAGCUCAGAACUUAAGCGCCAGUAAACGGCGGUGGUAACUAUAACCAUCCUAAGGUAGCGAAAUUCCUUGUCGGGUAAGUUCCGACCUGCACGAAUGGCGUAACGACUUGGGCGCUGUCUCAACCACAGACUCGGCGAAAUUGCACUACGAGUAAAGAUGCUCGUUACGCGCGGCAGGACGGAAAGACCCCGGGACCUUUACUACAGCUUGGUAUUGGUGGUCGGUUCGAUUUGUGUAGGAUAGGUGGGAGACUAUGAAGCGUGGACGCCAGUCCAUGUGGAGUCAUCGUUGAAAUACCACUCUGAUCGUGCUGGCUGUCUAACUUAGGUCCGUGAUCCGGAUCAAGGACAGUGCCUGGUGGGUAGUUUAACUGGGGCGGUUGCCUCCUAAAAUGUAACGGAGGCGCUCAAAGGUUCCCUCAGCCUGGUUGGCAAUCAGGUGGCGAGUGUAAGUGCACAAGGGAGCUUGACUGUGAGACAGACAUGUCGAGCAGGGACGAAAGUCGGAACUAGUGAUCCGGCCACGGCAUGUGGAAGCGUGGUCGCUCAACGGAUAAAAGGUACCCCGGGGAUAACAGGCUGAUCUUCCCCAAGAGUCCAUAUCGACGGGAUGGUUUGGCACCUCGAUGUCGGCUCGUCGCAUCCUGGGGCUGGAGUCGGUCCCAAGGGUUGGGCUGUUCGCCCAUUAAAGCGGCACGCGAGCUGGGUUUAGAACGUCGUGAGACAGUUCGGUCCCUAUCCGCCGCGCGCGUAGGAAACUUGAGAAAGGCUGUCCCUAGUACGAGAGGACCGGGAUGGACGAACCUCUGGUGUGCCAGUUGUUCCGCCAGGAGCACGGCUGGUUAGCUACGUUCGGAAGUGAUAACCGCUGAAAGCAUCUAAGCGGGAAGCACGCUUCAAGAUGAGGGCUCCCACAGGGUUGACCUGGUAAGGCCCCCAGCUAGACGACUGGGUUGAUAGGCCGGAAGUGGAAGCACAGUGAUGUGUGGAGCUGACCGGUACUAAUAGGCCGAGGACUUGCCACA